GGCUUUCUCUGGUUCACAGGCAUGAUUGGGUAUUCACACUAUUGGGUGACAUGUGCCUCCCUCAAACCUUGUAAUGAUAUUGGCACAUUACCCAUCUGACA
Jaculus jaculus (lesser Egyptian jerboa) is the source of this 101-nucleotide small nucleolar RNA. RefSeq annotates it as small nucleolar RNA U13. The record is from RefSeq and is a predicted model, not a curated record. NCBI's taxonomy places the organism in Eukaryota, Metazoa, Chordata, Mammalia, Rodentia, Dipodidae. The transcript has a single exon.